This 424-nucleotide ribosomal RNA is filed under the name uncultured bacterium. RNAcentral describes it as "bacterial SSU rRNA". It matches the Rfam family "Bacterial small subunit ribosomal RNA", at positions 356 to 773 of the family's 1533-position model. The record is from RNAcentral.
GGGGAAUUUUGCGCAAUGGGCGAAAGCCUGACGCAGCAACGCCGCGUGAGUGAUGAAGGUCUUCGGAUCGUAAAGCUCUUUCGGCUGGGACGAAAACGGUCUGGCUAAUAACCAGGCCCUUGACGGUACCGGAAGAAGAAGCACCGGCUAACUCUGUGCCAGCAGCCGCGGUAAUACAGAGGGUGCAAGCGUUGUUCGGAAUUAUUGGGCGUAAAGCGCGUGUAGGCUGCGACGUAUGUCGGGUGUGAAAGCCCUCGGCUCAACUGAGGAAGUGCGCCCGAAACUACGUUGCUCGAGUGCUGGAGAGGGUAGCGGAAUUCCCGGUGUAGAGGUGAAAUUCGUAGAUAUCGGGAGGAACACCAGUGGCGAAGGCGGCUACCUGGACGGACACUGACGCUGAGACGCGAAAGCGUGGGGAGCAAAC